ACGGGGUGCAGCAGGCGCGAAAACUUUGCAAUGUGCGAAAGCACGACAAGGUUAAUCCGAGUGAUUUCUGCUAAAGAAAUCUUUUGUUAGUUUUAGAAAAACUGACGAAUAAGGGGUGGGCAAGUUCUGGUGUCAGCCGCCGCGGUAAAACCAGCACCUCAAGUGGUCAGGAUGAUUAUUGGGCCUAAAGCAUCCGUAGCCGGAUGUAUAAGUUUUCGGUUAAAUCUAUGUGCUCAACGUAUAGGCUGCCGGAAAUACUGUGGAUCUAGGGAGUGGGAGAGGUAGACGGUACUCGGUAGGAAGAGGUAAAAUCCUUUAAUCUAUCGAUGACCACCAGUGGCGAAGGCGGUCUACCUGAACACGUUCGACGGUGAGGGAUGAAAGCUGGGGGAGCAAACCGGAUUAGAUACCCGGGUAGUCCCAGCUGUAAACAAUGCAAACUCAAUGAUGCAUCGGGUUGAACCCGGUGCAGUGUUGCAGGGAAGCCGUUAAGUUUGCCGCCUGGGAAGUACGUACGCAAGUAUGAAACUUAAAGGAAUUGGCGGGGGAGCAC
Molecule: ribosomal RNA, 553 nt
Filed under: uncultured marine archaeon
Lineage: Archaea
Description: bacterial SSU rRNA
Rfam family: Archaeal small subunit ribosomal RNA
Source: RNAcentral